UUGCGUUUGGAUGGAGUAUUCAGGAAAACUUUGAUUCGCGAUGUCCUUCAGUUACAACUCAUGACGUUCGAUGUCUGUGACUGGGUAACUUUCGAUGACGUCAGAUUUCUUUGGAUAAAACUGCGCGUUGAAACUAUGCGAAUUAACCGAGUCUCUUUAAUGCUACGGGACUGUAUAUCCGUCAACUUUGUGUUUUCUAAAAUAUCGGUAAGUUUUUUUUUUUUUUUUUAUCUCUUCAUAAACCAUUAUUAUGCCUAUCGUAUCAUUAAUCAUUUUUAUGUAUUAAUUAUAAAAAUAAUUAAUAAAUAAAAUCUUGGAUCAACAUGGUGUCCUAUUAUACGCGGCUCCUGUCCAAGAGUUUUUGGCGAUUCCAAACUUGGCUCCUCAAAUAACAAAAAACAAAAUAAAAUAUGUGGCUUUAUCAGUAGUAUAGUAUCAGGUACUGUCAAAAGAUUAAUUUAAGAUGGUUAUCACAUUCGAUAAUUUAUGGCGAUAUUAAUGGGAUUAUUUUAAAAAUUUUCCUUGUUUUAUUACUUAUAACGAGUAAUUCUGGUUUGUUGUUUAUUAUAAGGCUUAUAUUAUUUAAAUCUUAUUAUUUAAUAUAUGAUGUUUUAGCUUAAAUACAACAUAUUAAAACACUUAGAGCAGGGAUUCCCAACUUUUUGGCCCCGUUGGCUUUUAGUAAAUUAUCCGGUACCCCAUGUAGGAGGCACAGAUACCGCGGAGGAGAGCCUCGAGGGUAUGCCGAUCUGAUACUUUCACUACCUAUCUUGAAUCUUAAAUCGGGCAUUUUGAGUUAUCGAACCCUGCAAUGAGAAAAAAAGUCUAUGCAACCUCAUUGUUGGUAACAUUACUAUUUUUGUAAUAUAUUAAGAGCAUAAUGAAGAAUUUUCCGCACAGUUACGACCGAUAAAGUCUACCGUCUGCGCAUGCUCGAGAUUGUGAGUCGCAAAUGAGCUCGUGGCUCAUAUCAGUGGUUCUUCGUACCAGUUUCGGUCGUGUCGUUAACCGAUAAAGAGUCUUUUAUCGUCGUGUUUUCGGAACGAGCCGAUUCAACCCAGAAUAUUAAAAUUCGCCGUCAGCCAUUUAAUAUAACAGAUGAUCUUUAUUAGAAAUAAUAAAGGAUAGAAUAAGAAUAAUUUAUGAG
This 1147-nucleotide long non-coding RNA is filed under the name Androctonus crassicauda. Lineage: Eukaryota; Metazoa; Arthropoda; Arachnida; Scorpiones; Buthidae. The record is from RNAcentral.